Papaver somniferum (opium poppy) is the source of this 1748-nucleotide long non-coding RNA. RefSeq lists it as uncharacterized. The record is from RefSeq and is a predicted model, not a curated record. The transcript has 4 exons. NCBI's taxonomy places the organism in Eukaryota, Viridiplantae, Streptophyta, Magnoliopsida, Ranunculales, Papaveraceae.
UUGUAUGUGUAAUUUGUAAACCCUUUUCUUUAAAAGAAAAAGAUUGCAUUUUUAGUUUAUCUUAGUUGCUAGUUGCUUAGAUUAAUUGCUACUUGUUGUUUAGAUCAUUUGAUAUUUGUUGUCUAGAAUCAGAUUAGUAUCAUAGUAAAUUUCAUAUUGAUACUGGAGGAGAAUGCAAUUCAGAGUUUGCAACAAAAUCGAGCGAACUUAUCAAGAGGUGGGAUUUUCUUGUUUAUUUUGUGAUUGGUUUUUGAUUGAUGAGUCUGAGUUUCUCACCGCAAACUCAAUUUGUUGUAGAGAAUAAGAGAGUGAUAAGAUAUGUGUAUAAAUGGUACUUGUUCCCGUGUGACGUUGCCGGAUUUUAUGUUCAUUUUUCUUGGUUAUAUGCUACUGAAACUUCUUGAUUCCAUUUCACUACCAAUUGAAUUUAGCGCACUUUCUUUUACGCAGACUUACUGAGUAUGAUAGAUCUUAAUAUUUGCUUAUAAAGUUGUCUUGUUUUUGUUGUUCAAAGCCAAGCAUAAGAUCGCUGUACUGCGAAAAUCUCUGUAAAGAUCUCACUAAAGCAUUCAGUCAAGCCACCGGCAGUUCGGAAGGAUACUAAUGUAACAAUGCUCUUGUGAUUUACAAAAUCGCGCUCCAGGAGAACCUUUUAUACCAGAGUCAUAAGCAGGAUGAAAUGGAGAGGAUAUUGAGAUCAAUGCAGGAGCACCAGGAAUGUAAAUGUACUCGAAGGAUGAUCUGUUAAAGAAGAAUUUCGGGGCCGAAAAUGGUGAUGAAGAUCUAAGAUUUCCCUUCGAAUUUGGGUAAAGCGUUGAGAGAAAAAGAAAAUGCAAAACAAGAUUGGAAGAAGAAGAUUACAAAGAAAAUUUCAGACUCUGGUACAACAUCAAAGGCCCACGCCAACUAGGCAACAUGCCGAUGACAGCAAUGGUGGAGAAAAAGAGAAGCAACAAGUUCCAAAAAAGUAAUCAAGACAGAACUUUAAGACACUACACAGCUGUUCAUUUCUAUAGAGCAUAAUAGCCUCUUUUCUUUUUAGUUCUACAUAAACUUUUCCUGGUAUUGAGCAGAAAAUAGAAUCAUGAGUAAAGUUCCAUCCUUCAAAUUGGAUAACUGUGUCAGUAGUCUUUUGGUUCAAAGCUCUGGUUAGCCUCCAAUGCAUUGCAGGAUCAUGAAUGAUCAAUCAAUCCAAAGAAAAAAACAAGGGUGUUCUCAAUUUCUGGCAAUAUACUUGUCCAUUUCUGAACAAGUAUAACUACAGAAUUACAGUGUUUUGGGAAUUAUCUUAUAAGUGAAUACAAGAAACUGCAACGUACUGCAUUUUAUCUUGUUCGUCUGGGAUCGAAUUCUGAGACCUGGUGAUUACUCUGGGUAGACCGUUUCUUCUGCAAGAAAACUGAAUUAGAUGACUUCAUACAUAUGUUUCUGCAGUUUAGGUACAAGAAACACAAAUGGGUUAUUUCUCCUAAAUCGAAAGACGAACUUUAUCUAUCUGCAUUGUUGGAGAAAUCACAAAGGUCACUAUGAGUACUGCUCAAAUUGUUUUGAUAUCAAUUCUUAUAACUUAUUAUUACGUCACCAUGGCAAUAUUUGUUUCUUUGCAACCAUUUCACAUGCAUUGUUGGUCCCUUAUCUCCAUUAGACUACUUUGUGACUAAUGUAUGCGUCAACUGGAAUUCUCCCGUCUACUAAUGUAGUCUCAUUAUACCAGCAUUACUACGAAUUUGAGCCAAGUGUUUUGAUGU